GAUGAACGCUGGCGGCGUGCCUAAUACAUGCAAGUCGAGCGAACAGAUAAGGAGCUUGCUCCUUUGACGUUAGCGGCGGACGGGUGAGUAACACGUGGGUAACCUACCUAUAAGACUGGGAUAACUUCGGGAAACCGGAGCUAAUACCGGAUAACAUUUGGAACCGCAUGGUUCUAAAGUGAAAGAUGGUUUUGCUAUCGCUUAUAGAUGGACCCGCGCCGUAUUAGCUAGUUGGUAAGGUAACGGCUUACCAAGGCGACGAUACGUAGCCGACCUGAGAGGGUGAUCGGCCACACAGGAACUGAGACACGGUCCAGACUCCUACGGGAGGCAGCAGUAGGGAAUCUUCCGCAAUGGGCGAAAGCCUGACGGAGCAACGCCGCGUGAGUGAUGAAGGGUUUCGGCUCGUAAAACUCUGUUAUUAGGGAAGAACAAAUGUGUAAGUAACUGUGCACGUCUUGACGGUACCUAAUCAGAAAGCCACGGCUAACUACGUGCCAGCCGCCGCGGUAA
RNAcentral lists this ribosomal RNA (513 nucleotides) under uncultured bacterium. RNAcentral describes it as "partial 16S ribosomal RNA". It matches the Rfam family "Bacterial small subunit ribosomal RNA", at positions 28 to 523 of the family's 1533-position model. The record is from RNAcentral.